CCGAGUUUACAACUCCCAAACCCAAUGUGAACGUUACCAAACUGUUGCCUCGGCGGGAUCUCUGCCCCGGGUGCGUCGCAGCCCCGGACCAAGGCGCCCGCCGGAGGACCAACCUAAAACUCUUAUUGUAUACCCCCUCGCGGGUUUUUUUAUAAUCUGAGCCUUCUCGGCGCCUCUCGUAGGCGUUUCGAAAAUGAAUCAAAACUUUCAACAACGGAUCUCUUGGUUCUGGCAUCGAUGAAGAACGCAGCGAAAUGCGAUAAGUAAUGUGAAUUGCAGAAUUCAGUGAAUCAUCGAAUCUUUGAACGCACAUUGCGCCCGCCAGUAUUCUGGCGGGCAUGCCUGUCCGAGCGUCAUUUCAACCCUCGAACCCCUCCGGGGGGUCGGCGUUGGGGAUCGGCCCUCCCUUAGCGGGGUGGCCGUCUCCGAAAUACAGUGGCGGUCUCGCCGCAGCCUCUCCUGCGCAGUAGUUUGCACACUCGCAUCGGGAGCGCGGCGCGUCCACAGCCGUUAAACACCCAACUUCUGAAAUGUUGACCUCGGAUCAGGUAGGAAUACCCGCUGAACUUAAGCAUAUCAAUAAGGCGGAGGAA
This 593-nucleotide ribosomal RNA is filed under the name Trichoderma harzianum. Its description in RNAcentral is "eukaryotic LSU rRNA". The stretch from base 203 to 356 matches the Rfam family "5.8S ribosomal RNA". The record is from RNAcentral. Lineage: Eukaryota; Fungi; Ascomycota; Sordariomycetes; Hypocreales; Hypocreaceae.